RNAcentral lists this ribosomal RNA (253 nucleotides) under uncultured bacterium. RNAcentral describes it as "partial 16S ribosomal RNA". It matches the Rfam family "Bacterial small subunit ribosomal RNA", at positions 524 to 776 of the family's 1533-position model. The record is from RNAcentral.
GACGAACCGAGCGACCGUUGUUCGGAAUCACUGGGCUUAAAGGGCGCGUAGGCGGGCUGUCAAGUCUGGGGUGAAAUCCCGCGGCUCAACCGCGGAACUGCCUCAGAUACUGACGGUCCCGAGGGAGGUAGGGGCGAGCGGAACUGAUGGUGGAGCGGUGAAAUGCGUUGAUAUCAUCAGGAACUCCGGUGGCGAAGGCGGCUCGCUGGACCUCUUCUGACGCUGAGGCGCGAAAGCCAGGGGAGCAAACGGG